CAAGACUCCUACGGGAGGCAGCAGUCGGGAAUAUUGCGCAAUGGAGGAAACUCUGACGCAGUGACGCCGCGUAUAGGACGAAGGUCUUCGGAUUGUAAACUAUUGUCGUUAGGGAAGAGAAAGGACAGUACCUAAGGAGGAAGUUCCGGCUAACUACGUGCCAGCAGCCGCGGUAAUACGUAGGGGGCAAGCGUUAUCCGGAUUUACUGGGUGUAAAGGGAGCGUAGGCGGCAAGGUAAGCCAGAAGUGAAAGCCCGCGGCUCAACUGCGGGACUGCUUUUGAAACUAUCUAGCUAGAUUGCAGGAGAGAUAAGUGGAAUUCCUAGUGUAGCGGUGAAAUGCGUAGAUAUUAGGAGGAACACCAGUGGCGAAGGCGGCUUACUGGACUGUAAAUGACGCUGAGGCUCGAAAGCGUGGGGAGCAAACAGGAUUAGAUACCCUUGUA
This 445-nucleotide ribosomal RNA is filed under the name uncultured bacterium. RNAcentral describes it as "bacterial SSU rRNA". It matches the Rfam family "Bacterial small subunit ribosomal RNA", at positions 331 to 792 of the family's 1533-position model. The record is from RNAcentral.